GUGUCAGCCGCCGCGGUAAUACGUAGGGGGCAAGCGUUGUCCGGAAUCAUUGGGCGUAAAGAGCGUGUAGGCGGCCCGGUAAGUCCGUUGUGAAAGUCCAGGGCUCAACCCUGGAAAGCCGAUGGAUACUGCCGGGCUAGAGUUCGGAAGAGGCGAGUGGAAUUCCUGGUGUAGCGGUGGAAUGCGCAGAUAUCAGGAGGAACACCUAUAGCGAAGGCAGCUCGCUGGGACGACACUGACGCUGAGACGCGAAAGCGUGGGGAGCGAACAGGAUUAGAAACCCGAGUAGUCC
Molecule: ribosomal RNA, 292 nt
Filed under: uncultured bacterium
Lineage: Bacteria
Description: partial 16S ribosomal RNA
Rfam family: Bacterial small subunit ribosomal RNA
Source: RNAcentral